AAUAAGUGCAGUUUUGCAUUAUUUAUCUUCAACGUUUAACCAUUCGUCUUAUUUGAAAAUUUUUUAUGAUUACUAUUUUUAUUGUUAUUAGAUGAUAAAAUAUGAAUAAUAUUUUAUGUGUGACUAAUUUUUUUAAAAAUUUUCAAAUAAGACGGAUGGUUAAACGUUGGACAUGGAUUUUCACAGCUGCACUUAUU
Non-coding RNA from Oryza glaberrima (African rice), 197 nucleotides. The record is from Rfam. Lineage: Eukaryota; Viridiplantae; Streptophyta; Magnoliopsida; Poales; Poaceae.